Molecule: ribosomal RNA, 565 nt
Filed under: uncultured bacterium
Lineage: Bacteria
Description: bacterial SSU rRNA
Rfam family: Bacterial small subunit ribosomal RNA
Source: RNAcentral
CCUACGGGAGGCAGCAGUGGGGAAUUUUCCGCAAUGGGCGAAAGCCUGACGGAGCAAUCUCGCGUGAGGGAUGACUGCCUAUGGGUUGUAAACCUCUUUUUUCAGGGAGGAAUAAAUGACGUGUACCUGAAGAAUAAGCAUCGGCUAACUCCGUGCCAGCAGCCGCGGUAAUACGGAGGAUGCAAGUGUUAUCCGGAAUCACUGGGCGUAAAGCGUCUGUAGGUGGUUUAAUAAGUCAACUGUUAAAUCUUGAGGCUCAACUUCAAAAUCGCAGUCGAAACUAUUAGACUAGAGUAUAGUAGGGGUAAAGGGAAUUUCCAGUGGAGCGGUGAAAUGCGUAGAGAUUGGAAAGAACACCGAUGGCGAAGGCACUUUACUGGGCUAUUACUGACACUCAGAGACGAAAGCUAGGGUAGCAAAUGGGAUUAGAUACCCCAGUAGUCCUAGCUGUAAACAAUGGAUACUAGAUGUUGAACAGAUCGACCUGUGCAGUAUCAAAGCUAACGCGUUAAGUAUCCCGCCUGGGAAGUAUGCUCGCAAGAGUGAAACUCAAAGGAAUUGACGG